AGUUGUUUGGUUUAGUGGUAUGAUUCUUGCUUUAGGUGCAAGAGGUUGUGUGUUCAAUUCUUGUAACACCUU
Molecule: transfer RNA, 72 nt
Filed under: Ipomoea nil (Japanese morning glory)
Lineage: Eukaryota; Viridiplantae; Streptophyta; Magnoliopsida; Solanales; Convolvulaceae
Rfam family: tRNA
About the family: Transfer RNA (tRNA) molecules are approximately 80 nucleotides in length. Their secondary structure includes four short double-helical elements and three loops (D, anti-codon, and T loops).
Source: Rfam by way of RNAcentral